Passer domesticus (house sparrow) is the source of this 718-nucleotide long non-coding RNA. RefSeq lists it as uncharacterized. NCBI's taxonomy places the organism in Eukaryota, Metazoa, Chordata, Aves, Passeriformes, Passeridae. The record is from RefSeq and is a predicted model, not a curated record. The transcript is spliced from 3 exons.
AAGGCGCCGGAGCUCCUGAGGCGAUUUUGCCGCCAUCAAAAAAUCGAUUCAGCACCUUAAGUUUUAUUAAAAUAUAGCAAAAAAGGGUCUCUCAAACUUCAGAGAAACCUUUGACCCUGCGCCAUGAGUGAGGCAGAGAGGACCACACCGUGGUGCAGGCGUUCCUCUGCAGGGUCUCUGGCAAGGACCUGCUGGCCAUGGCACUGCUGGCUGCCCGCGAGCGAUGCAACCCCCUGCCCUGUGAGUCCUUAAUUAACGAAGCCCUGCCUUAAUUAGAGCCCUAACACCCUCCCAGCCAAUUAGGGGUCCUAAUGAUGCCCCCAGUAAUUAAGUGGGGGCCCUAAUGAAGCCCCUUUAAUGAACCGGGGGGGCGCUAAUGAAGCAGGGGGUUCUCAGGAUAUUCUUGUUAAUGAAAUGUGGGGCUCUAAUUAAGCAAGGAGCCCUAAUGACGCCUCCAUUAAUGAAGUAGGGAACCUUAAUGACACCCCGCUAAUGAAGUGAGAGGCCUUAAUGAUGCUCCUGCUAAUGAAGUGGGGGCUCUAAUGAAUCCCCCCCAAUGAAGUGGGGAGCCCCAAGGAUGCCCCUGCUAACGAAGCAGGGCCCUAAUUAACCCCAGAGGUGUCAAACCCCAAACCCUCAGAGUCCUGCUCCCAAAUUGCUCAGAUCUCAUUACCCAAAAUCCCUGAUUCCCACCCAAAAUCCCACUACCCAAAAUCCC